RNAcentral lists this ribosomal RNA (515 nucleotides) under uncultured bacterium. RNAcentral describes it as "bacterial SSU rRNA". It matches the Rfam family "Bacterial small subunit ribosomal RNA", at positions 8 to 518 of the family's 1533-position model. The record is from RNAcentral.
AGAGUUGAUUAUGGCUCAGGACGAACGCUGGCGGCGUGCUUAACACAUGCAAGUCGAACGAGGAUAAGCCAGAGGAGAGCUUCGGCAGGAAUCAGGCAUAUUCGAGUGGCGGACGGGUGAGUAACGCGUGAGCAACCUGUCCCAGACAGGGGGAUAACACUUGGAAACAGGUGCUAAUACCGCAUAAGACCACGGUAUCACAUGGUAGUGGGGUAAAAGGAGCAAUCCGGUUUGGGGUGGGCUCGCGUCCGAUUAGAUAGUUGGUGAGGUAACGGCCCACCAAGUCGACGAUCGGUAGCCGACCUGAGAGGGUGAUCGGCCACAUUGGAACUGAGAGACGGUCCAAACUCCUACGGGAGGCAGCAGUGGGGAAUAUUGGGCAAUGGGCGAAAGCCUGACCCAGCAACGCCGCGUGAGUGAAGAAGGCCUUCGGGUUGUAAAGCUCUGUUAUAGUUGACGAAGGAAGUGACGGUAGGCUAUAAGGAAGCCCCGGCUAACUACGUGCCAGCCGCCGC